UAGUGCCGUUUUUUAAUUUUCGUUAUUAAUUGGAAAAUUUUAAAGAACGCUAUAAUCGUAUAAAAACGUACUGAAAGCCAACCCUAAUCCUGUAGCGUUUUUUAUAGGGGAUGACAUCCUUAUCAAAAAACGCUACAUGCCCUGGAAUCGAGGUUGGUUGAGUGCAGAGAAUAUGGAAAGUUAAGCUUUGUCAAAUGUUACUCCUUUAAGGGCCGACACAGUUUGGUCCGAUGUAUUUUUAACGGUUAAUUGUUGUUGUAUUAACUUACCUGACUUUCCUACUCCUCGAGAACCUAGAAGCAAUAAACGAAUAUCAGCUUGACUUUCGCCAUUUUGAUGUUGAUGAUGUGUGUUGGUUGGAGGUAGCAAAUAUAUGAAUUAUUUCGAUUAUGGUACAACCAGAGAGACCUGCGAUUCCACGUUAAUUCGUGUUGGAAACACUGUUAUCAAUGUUGGUCCUGUGUUCGGAAUGUAUACAUUAAGUUUACAUCGGCAUUACCUACCCAAUUUCCCUCACAUGGCAUGGGUUGACCCGUAGCGGUGGUAAAGACACUUGUGAACAUACCCGC
Long non-coding RNA from Hydractinia symbiolongicarpus, 569 nucleotides. RefSeq lists it as uncharacterized. The record is from RefSeq and is a predicted model, not a curated record. Lineage: Eukaryota; Metazoa; Cnidaria; Hydrozoa; Anthoathecata; Hydractiniidae. The transcript is spliced from 4 exons.